This 490-nucleotide ribosomal RNA is filed under the name uncultured bacterium. RNAcentral's name for it is "bacterial SSU rRNA". It matches the Rfam family "Bacterial small subunit ribosomal RNA", at positions 30 to 504 of the family's 1533-position model. The record is from RNAcentral.
CGAACGCUGGCGGCGUGCCUAAUACAUGCAAGUCGAGCGGAGAAUUUGGAGCUUGCUCCAUUUUCUUAGCGGCGGACGGGUGAGUAACACGUGGGCAACCUGCCCUGCAGAUCGGGAUAACUCCGGGAAACCGGUGCUAAUACCGAAUAGUUUGUUCCACCUCCUGGUGGAACACGGAAAGACGGUUUCGGCUGUCACUGCAGGAUGGGCCCGCGGCGCAUUAGCUAGUUGGUGGGGUAAUGGCCCACCAAGGCGACGAUGCGUAGCCGACCUGAGAGGGUGAUCGGCCACACUGGGACUGAGACACGGCCCAGACUCCUACGGGAGGCAGCAGUAGGGAAUCUUCCGCAAUGGACGAAAGUCUGACGGAGCAACGCCGCGUGAGUGACGAAGGUUUUCGGAUCGUAAAACUCUGUUGUGAGGGAAGAACAAGUACCAACUAACUACUGGUACCUUGACGGUACCUCACCAGAAAGCCACGGCUAACUCC